CCUACGGGUGGCAGCAGUGGGGAAUAUUGCACAAUGGGCGCAAGCCUGAUGCAGCCAUGCCGGGUGUGUGAAGAAGGCCUUCGGGUUGUAAAGCACUUUCAGCGGGGAGGAAGGCGGUGAGGUUAAUAACCUCAUCGAUUGACGUUACCCGCAGAAGAAGCACCGGCUAACUCCGUGCCAGCAGCCGCGGUAAUACGGAGGGUGCAAGCGUUAAUCGGAAUUACUGGGCGUAAAGCGCACGCAGGCGGUCUGUCAAGUCGGAUGUGAAAUCCCCGGGCUCAACCUGGGAACUGCAUUCGAAACUGGCAGGCUAGAGUCUUGUAGAGGGGGGUAGAAUUCCAGGUGUAGCGGUGAAAUGCGUAGAGAUCUGGAGGAAUACCGGUGGCGAAGGCGGCCCCCUGGACAAAGACUGACGCUCAGGUGCGAAAGCGUGGGGAGCAAACAGGAUUAGAUACCCCAGUAGUC
This 465-nucleotide ribosomal RNA is filed under the name uncultured Klebsiella sp. Its description in RNAcentral is "bacterial SSU rRNA". It matches the Rfam family "Bacterial small subunit ribosomal RNA", at positions 338 to 795 of the family's 1533-position model. Lineage: Bacteria; Pseudomonadati; Pseudomonadota; Gammaproteobacteria; Enterobacterales; Enterobacteriaceae. The record is from RNAcentral.